Molecule: ribosomal RNA, 502 nt
Filed under: uncultured Pseudomonas sp.
Lineage: Bacteria; Pseudomonadati; Pseudomonadota; Gammaproteobacteria; Pseudomonadales; Pseudomonadaceae
Description: bacterial SSU rRNA
Rfam family: Bacterial small subunit ribosomal RNA
Source: RNAcentral
UUUGAUCCUGGCUCAGAUUGAACGCUGGCGGCAGGCCUAACACAUGCAAGUCGAGCGGCAGCACGGGUACUUGUACCUGGUGGCGAGCGGCGGACGGGUGAGUAAUGCCUAGGAAUCUGCCUGGUAGUGGGGGAUAACGUUCGGAAACGGACGCUAAUACCGCAUACGUCCUACGGGAGAAAGCAGGGGACCUUCGGGCCUUGCGCUAUCAGAUGAGCCUAGGUCGGAUUAGCUAGUUGGUGAGGUAAUGGCUCACCAAGGCGACGAUCCGUAACUGGUCUGAGAGGAUGAUCAGUCACACUGGAACUGAGACACGGUCCAGACUCCUACGGGAGGCAGCAGUGGGGAAUAUUGGACAAUGGGCGAAAGCCUGAUCCAGCCAUGCCGCGUGUGUGAAGAAGGUCUUCGGAUUGUAAAGCACUUUAAGUUGGGAGGAAGGGCAUUUACCUAAUACGUAAGUGUUUUGACGUUACCGACAGAAUAAGCACCGGCUAACUCUGUG